CUCAGUAUGACGAUGCUGUUCUUUUACUUUACAGUCCUGGCACUUCUUACAGAUAAUGUUCUUGCAAAUACAAUAACAUCCCGCUCUACUAAACAGCAUGUUUUAGAAGGAGGAAAGGUUACUAUUUCUUGCACCUACAGUGGAAGCAAUAUUAACGGUCUUCAGUGGUACAGACAGUAUCCCAACACUGCACCUGAAUUUCUCUUGCAAGCUUUUGAAGGUUUGGGACCGCAGCAGAAGGACCGUUAUGUUGCUGAAGCUCAAAAGAAUGAAAAACAACUAGAUCUGAAGAUCUCCAAAACUGAGAUAACAGAUGCUGCAGUAUACUACUGUGCCCUGGUGCCCACAGUAACAGGAAACCCUUCAACACUGUACAAAAACCUGAGAUAUCACAUUUGACUAUAGUUUCUCUG
Molecule: non-coding RNA, 413 nt
Organism: Onychostoma macrolepis
Lineage: Eukaryota; Metazoa; Chordata; Actinopteri; Cypriniformes; Cyprinidae
Source: the annotation of a RefSeq genome assembly